Molecule: ribosomal RNA, 375 nt
Filed under: uncultured Tissierella sp.
Lineage: Bacteria; Bacillati; Bacillota; Tissierellia; Tissierellales; Tissierellaceae
Description: bacterial SSU rRNA
Rfam family: Bacterial small subunit ribosomal RNA
Source: RNAcentral
UACGUAGGGGGCAAGCGUUGUCCGGAUUUAUUGGGCGUAAAGGGUGCGUAGGCGGCCAUUUAAGUCAGAUGUGAAAGAUCACGGCUCAACCGUGGUAAGCAUUUGAAACUGAAAGGCUUGAGUUAAGGAGAGGAAAGUGGAAUUCCUAGUGUAGCGGUGAAAUGCGUAGAUAUUAGGAGGAAUACCAGUGGCGAAGGCGACUUUCUGGACUUAUACUGACGCUGAGGCACGAAAGCGUGGGGAGCGAACAGGAUUAGAUACCCUGGUAGUCCACGCCGUAAACGAUGAGUGCUAGGUGUUGGGGGUCAAACCUCGGUGCCGCAGCUAACGCAUUAAGCACUCCGCCUGGGGAGUACGUACGCAAGUAUGAAACUC